GCUCUCACGCGCGGCGCUUGUUUGCAGACGGACAAAAACCGAUAAAGGAUGUAAAUGAAUGAGAGGGAAGAGUCUCGUGCACGCAGAGCUUGAACAAAAGCGAACGGACCUCAGUGAAGGAACGCUUUGAGCAACGUUUAGAUUUCUCUACACGUUUGAUGAAUGCACACAGUGUUAGACAGGCUGCUGCAGAGAGGCUUCUGUUCGAACUUUCCUCAAUCACUUUCAUUUAUAGGGUUAGGGCUGAGGAUAUACGCAUUUGUCGCAAGGGACAGCAAUCCAGACAUCUCUGAGCAUGUAUAAUCUAUCAAUACAGUGAGAGAUGAGGAAGGUGUGCGUGAAAAGGAUUGUCUAGAGACACUGAGAUGAAGUCAGAGAUGUCCGGGAGUGCUCCUGCUCUAUUCCUCACAUCUGUGGGCCGCUCUCCUCUGUAGGCCGAGUAGUAUCCUGUACAGGCCAGGAAGGGUGAGCUGUGCUGGGUUUUGAGGAUACCCAACGCCCUCCUUCCACAUUGGCACCUCUGGAGCCUCUUUCAGUAUGAUGGAAAGAGAAAAGAGAAUGGAAAACUGAUACUGGUCUAAUCUCACCUGCAGCCACAUGCUGAGAGACCAUCAGAGGAAUGGUGCUUCACAAGCACAGACGAGACAGAAGACAAACUUAGAUGGACCAGACCUGCUGAUGAGUUCCGCUGUUGUCUUGGAGACUCGAUGAUGUCAUUUUUUAAAGACGUUCAGGAGGACCGAUUGGGUCAAGUCUUACUAGCAGAACAUUUCAGUCCAGUUCUGAUGGAAGAAACACACACACACACACCAUUUCACAAACAUGAGUUUUACCUCUGAUUAUAUGAUCUUGUUCAUUGACUUCAAAUGUAGAAAACUAAAAACAUUCUGGAAAAUUUCCACAACCAUCUGCACAAACACAUGGACGCUCUCUCACACAGGUGAGUUCGUAAAACAAGGUAAGUGAAUCUAAAACUGCACAUAACGUUAUUGUCUUUAAUAUGCUUUGCGUUGCAUUUCAUCAUGUGCAUUUCCUGAUAACAGCUGCAUGUGGUGCAUUGUUUUAUACACACUGUCUCUUCAUGCACUCUGCAUGAAUAAUACAAAUUGUAAAUGAAUAUUUCAAUAACACUAUUGUAGACGUGUAGGCUAAAAUGUUUUUUUGAGUCAUCUGAUUGAAAAAUGAAUACUGUUAAUGAGCAAUUAAAUAUCAGUAAAGCUGUCAUUUAUCAUCUGAGUCUUUGUGAAUUGAUUAUUAAUAAAGCAACUACAUA
Myxocyprinus asiaticus (Chinese sucker) is the source of this 1273-nucleotide long non-coding RNA. RefSeq lists it as uncharacterized. The record is from RefSeq and is a predicted model, not a curated record. Lineage: Eukaryota; Metazoa; Chordata; Actinopteri; Cypriniformes; Catostomidae. The transcript has 4 exons.